This 254-nucleotide ribosomal RNA is filed under the name uncultured Sarcomonadea. RNAcentral describes it as "partial small subunit ribosomal RNA". It matches the Rfam family "Eukaryotic small subunit ribosomal RNA", at positions 587 to 841 of the family's 1831-position model. The record is from RNAcentral. Lineage: Eukaryota; Cercozoa.
AGCUCCAAUAGCGUAUAUUAAAGUUGUUGCAGUUAAAAAGCUCGUAGUUGGAUUUCUGGUAUGGUGCGCCUGGCCCACGGUUGCAAAACCGCGAGUGUCGGUGUGCGCCUGCCAUCUUUCUAGUUAACUGGACGCACUUAACUGGGCGGUCAGCGAUCUAGAUCUUUUACUUUGAAAAAAUUAGAGUGUUUAAAGCAGGCUUGCGCUAUGAAUACAUUAGCAUGGAAUAAUAAUUUAGGACUUUAUUCCUAUUU